GUGGGGAAUAUUGGACAAUGGGCGAAAGCCUGAUCCAGCCAUGCCGCGUGUGUGAAGAAGGUCUUCGGAUUGUAAAGCACUUUAAGUUGGGAGGAAGGGCAGUAAGUUAAUACCUUGCUGUUUUGACGUUACCGACAGAAUAAGCACCGGCUAACUUCGUGCCAGCAGCCGCGGUAAUACGAAGGGUGCAAGCGUUACUCGGAAUUACUGGGCGUAAAGCGCGCGUAGGUGGUUUUGUAAGUUGGAGGUGAAAUCCCCGGGCUCAACCUGGGAACUGCCUCCAAAACUGCAUGACUAGAGUACGGUAGAGGGUAGUGGAAUUUCCUGUGUAGCGGUGAAAUGCGUAGAUAUAGGAAGGAACACCAGUGGCGAAGGCGACUACCUGGACUGAUACUGACACUGAGGUGCGAAAGCGUGGGGAGCAAACAGGAUUAGAAACCCGGGUAGUCC
Molecule: ribosomal RNA, 450 nt
Filed under: uncultured bacterium
Lineage: Bacteria
Description: partial 16S ribosomal RNA
Rfam family: Bacterial small subunit ribosomal RNA
Source: RNAcentral